UACGAAGGGGGCUAGCGUUGCUCGGAAUUACUGGGCGUAAAGGGCGCGUAGGCGGCCUUGUAAGUCAGGCGUGAAAUUCCUGGGCUCAACCUGGGGGCUGCGCUUGAGACUGUGAGGCUUGAGGACGGAAGAGGCUCGUGGAAUUCCCAGUGUAGAGGUGAAAUUCGUAGAUAUUGGGAAGAACACCGGUGGCGAAGGCGGCGAGCUGGUCCGUAUCUGACGCUGAGGCGCGACAGCGUGGGGAGCAAAC
RNAcentral lists this ribosomal RNA (250 nucleotides) under uncultured bacterium. Its description in RNAcentral is "partial 16S ribosomal RNA". It matches the Rfam family "Bacterial small subunit ribosomal RNA", at positions 524 to 773 of the family's 1533-position model. The record is from RNAcentral.